This 927-nucleotide non-coding RNA is filed under the name Paruwrobates erythromos (Palenque poison frog). RNAcentral describes it as "Ameerega erythromos (Palenque poison frog) 12S ribosomal RNA". It matches the Rfam family "Bacterial small subunit ribosomal RNA". The record is from RNAcentral. Lineage: Eukaryota; Metazoa; Chordata; Amphibia; Anura; Dendrobatidae.
AAGGCUUGGUCCUAGCCUUGAAGUCAGUUAUUACUUGAUAUACACAUGCAAGUUUCCGCACCCCUGUGAAAACGCCCUUAAAUCCCCCAUUAGGGAACAGGAGCUGGUAUCAGGCACAACUUUUUGCCCAAGACACCUAGCCUCGCCACACCCACAAGGGAUCUCAGCAGUGAUUAACAUUGAGCAUAAGCGACAGCUCGACUCAGUUAAAUUAAUUAGAGCCGGCCAAUCUGGUGCCAGCCGCCGCGGCUACACCACUGUGGCUCAAAUUGACUUCCGCCGGCGUAAAGCGUGAUUUAAGAUACAGACAUUUGGAACCAAAUUAAAAUUAAGCUGUAACACGCUUGUUAACUAAGAAGCCCAAAAACGAAAGUUAUUCCAAUUAAACCAACUUGAACUCACGACAGCUGAGAGACAAACUGGGAUUAGAUACCCCACUAUGCUCAGCCGUAAACUUUAAUUUACUCUCUCUUCGCCUGGGAACUACGAGCCAAGCUUAAAACCCAAAGGACUUGACGGUACCCCAUAUCCCCCUAGAGGAGCCUGUCCUAUAAUCGAUAACCCCCGUUAAACCUCACCAUUUUUAGCUACUCAGCCUGUAUACCUCCGUCGUCAGCUUACCACGUGAGCGUCAGUGAGCUUAAUGUCUCUCCAACUAAACGUCAGGUCAAGGUGCAACACAUAAAAUGGGAAGCGAUGGGCUACACUUUCUAACUUAGACCAAACGAAAGACUAUUUAUGAAACCUAGUCAGAAGGCGGAUUUAGUAGUAAAAUGGAACCAGAGAGUCCCUUUUAACCCGGCACUGGGGUGUGUACACACCGCCCGUCACCCUCCUCGAUGCUAUAAAAAAGUUUCUAACACCUUUUAGCUCCACAGAUGAGGCAAGUCGUAACAUGGUAAGUAUACCGGAAGGUGUGCUUGGAAA